Small nucleolar RNA from Acomys russatus (golden spiny mouse), 124 nucleotides. RefSeq annotates it as small nucleolar RNA SNORA71. Lineage: Eukaryota; Metazoa; Chordata; Mammalia; Rodentia; Muridae. The transcript has a single exon. The record is from RefSeq and is a predicted model, not a curated record.
GCUUGCCAACUGAUGGGCUGCCCAUGCCCCGUCCUUGAUUCUGCAUGGAGAGGAUGCUGAAGGCUUCCCCCUGUGUUUGGAAGGUCCAUUCCUGUCCUUGUCAAACUCUGGUGCUUUGAACACA